AGAGAUUGAACAUAAGAGUUUGAUCCUGGCUCAGAUUGAACGCUGGCGGCAUGCUUUACACAUGCAAGUCGGACGGCAGCACAGAGAAGCUUGCUUCUCGGGUGGCGAGUGGCGAACGGGUGAGUAACAUAUCGGAACGUACCGAGUAGUGGGGGAUAACUGAUCGAAAGAUCAGCUAAUACCGCAUACGUCUUGAGAGAGAAAGCAGGGGACUUUCGGGCCUUGCGCUAUUCGAGCGGCCGAUAUCUGAUUAGCUAGUUGGGUGGGGUAAAGGCCUACCAAGGCGACGAUCAGUAAGCGGGUCUGAGAGGAUGAUCCGCCACACUGGGGACUGAGACACGGCCCAGACUCCUACGGGAGGCAGCAGUGGGGAAUUUUGGACAAUGGGCGCAAGCCUGAUCCAGCCAUGCGCGUGUCUGAAGAAGGCCUUCUCGGGUUGUAAAGGACUUUUGUCAGGGAAGAAAAGGCUGUUGCUAAUAUCAGCGGCUGAUGACGGUACCUGAAGAAUAAGCACCGGCUAACUACGUGCCAGCAGCCGCGGUAAUACGUAGGGUGCGAGCGUUAAUCGGAAUUACUGGGCGUAAAGCGGGCGCAGACGGUUACUUAAGCAGGAUGUGAAAUCCCCGGGCUCAACCCGGGAACUGCGUUCUGAACUGGGUGACUCGAGUGUGUCAGAGGGAGGUAGAAUUCCACGUGUAGCAGUGAAAUGCGUAGAGAUGUGGAGGAAUACCGAUGGCGAAGGCAGCCUCCUGGGACAACACUGACGUUCAUGCCCGAAAGCGUGGGUAGCAAACAGGAUUAGAUACCCUGGUAGUCCACGCCCUAAACGAUGUCAAUUAGCUGUUGGGCAACUUGAUUGCUUAGUAGCGUAGCUAACGCGUGAAAUUGACCGCCUGGGGAGUACGGUCGCAAGAUUAAAACUCAAAGGAAUUGACGGGACCCGCACAAGCGGUGGAUGAUGUGGAUUAAUUCGAUGCAACGCGAAGAACCUUACCUGGUCUUGACAUGUACGGAAUCCUCCAGAGACGGAGGAGUGCCUUCGGGAGCCGUAACACAGGUGCUGCAUGGCUGUCGUCAGCUCGUGUCGUGAGAUGUUGGUUAAGUCCCGCAACGAGCGCAACCCUUGUCAUUAGUUGCCAUCAUUCAGUUGGGCACUCUAAUGAGACUGCCGGUGACAAGCCGGAGGAAGGUGGGGAUGACGUCAAGUCCUCAUGGCCCCUUAUGACCAGGGCUUCACACGUCAUACAAUGGUCGGUACAGAGGGUAGCCAAGCCGCGAGGCGGAGCCAAUCUCACAAAACCGAUCGUAGUCCGGAUUGCACUCUGCAACUCGAGUGCAUGAAGUCGAAUCGCUAGUAAUCGCAGGUCAGCAUACUGCGGUGAAUAACGUUCCCGGGUCUUGUACACACCGCCCGUCACACCAUGGGAGUGGGGGAUACCAGAAGUAGGUAGGGUAACCGCAAGGAGUCCGCUUACCACGGUAUGCUUCAUGACUGGGGUGAAGUCGUAACAAGGUAGCCGUAGGGAACCUGCGGCUGGAUCACCUCCUUUCUAGAG
RNAcentral lists this ribosomal RNA (1556 nucleotides) under Neisseria meningitidis. RNAcentral describes it as "bacterial SSU rRNA". It matches the Rfam family "Bacterial small subunit ribosomal RNA". Lineage: Bacteria; Pseudomonadati; Pseudomonadota; Betaproteobacteria; Neisseriales; Neisseriaceae. The record is from RNAcentral.